GUGAGGGAGAUCAGUCUGAACUGUUGUGUUCAGUGCACUGGAUCAGACCAACUGUCGCUUUCUUAUGAAACUUGAAUGAGAUAAGGAGGAAUUAGACAUGAUCAGACAACUCUCAAAUUCUGUAACAAGGGAGUCAGAGAAGGGGUGCCUAACAUUGCCAAAGUGCCAACUCACCAGACAAAAGAGCCACAACCCACUGGGAGGCAUCAGCCAAUCAACCCACACCCUACAGCAAAUAUGGGCCCGGUCCAUGUCUACAGCGCUGGAACAGUUAUCUUCAGUUUACUCAACCAGUUCACUGGUCACGGUGGAGUUAGUGGAGGACUAGAGGAUGAGCAAAAGCAAAACACGAGGGAUGAAGAAAGCGGAAGCUGUCCGACACACCCCAUCCCCUCCCCUAAUAUCCAUCUAUCCCAGGAAGAGAAGAAUGGCGAGAUGGACUGUGUAUUUUUCCCUUCACAGGAGCAAGGAAAGGAGAGUCACAUGUCCAAAGAGGAGGGAUUAUUAUGAUUGGAGGGGGAUUGCAGACUGAG
Long non-coding RNA from Esox lucius (northern pike), 533 nucleotides. NCBI's taxonomy places the organism in Eukaryota, Metazoa, Chordata, Actinopteri, Esociformes, Esocidae. The record is from Ensembl.